RNAcentral lists this ribosomal RNA (253 nucleotides) under uncultured bacterium. Its description in RNAcentral is "partial 16S ribosomal RNA". It matches the Rfam family "Bacterial small subunit ribosomal RNA", at positions 524 to 776 of the family's 1533-position model. The record is from RNAcentral.
GACGUAGGAGGCAAGCGUUAUCCGGAGUUACUGGGCGUAAAGCGCGUGUAGGCGGAUUGGUAAGUGGUUCGUGAAAUAUCCGGGCUAAACUCGGAGGGGACGAAUCAGACUGCUAGUCUGGAGGCGGGUAGAGGGGUGCGGAAUUCCGGGUGUAGCGGUGAAAUGUGUAGAUAUCCGGAGGAACACCAGAGGUGCAGACGGCGCCCUGGGCCCGACCUGACGCUGAGACGCGAAAGCUUGGGGAGCGAACGGG